RNAcentral lists this transfer RNA (67 nucleotides) under Marmota monax (woodchuck). RNAcentral describes it as "tRNA.Gly". Lineage: Eukaryota; Metazoa; Chordata; Mammalia; Rodentia; Sciuridae. The record is from RNAcentral.
GGUUGUGGCUUAGUGGGAGAGUGCUCACUUACCACGUGCAGGGCCCUGGGUUCAAUCCUCAGUACCA